CAAUAGCGUAUAUUAAAGUUGUUGCAGUUAAAAAGCUCGUAGUUGGAUUUCUGUGAGAGUGCCGGUGUCGGCUGAUGCUUGUACGCAGGCGCUCUUACAUCCUUCCGUUAACUGUUCUUGGCAUUUUAUUGCUGGUUCAGGGCUCAGAUAUUUUACCUUGGGAAAAUUAGAGUGUUUCAGGCAGGCUUAUGCCGGAAUACAUUAGCAUGGAAUAAUGGAACAGGACCUGUGCGUCUCUCGGGGCGCCGGUCUCCGUUGUUGGUUUCGGGGACUAAUGUAAUGAUUAAUAGGGAUAGUUGGGGGCAUUAGUAUUUAAUAGUCAGAGGUGAAAUUCUCGGAUUUGUUAAAGACUAACUUAUGCGAAAGCAUUUGCCAAGGAUGUUUUCAUUAA
Molecule: ribosomal RNA, 391 nt
Filed under: uncultured eukaryote
Lineage: Eukaryota
Description: partial 18S ribosomal RNA
Rfam family: Eukaryotic small subunit ribosomal RNA
Source: RNAcentral